RNAcentral lists this ribosomal RNA (497 nucleotides) under uncultured bacterium. RNAcentral's name for it is "partial 16S ribosomal RNA". It matches the Rfam family "Bacterial small subunit ribosomal RNA", at positions 28 to 507 of the family's 1533-position model. The record is from RNAcentral.
GAUGAACGCUGGCGGCGUGCCUAAUACAUGCAAGUCGAGCGAACGGACGAGAAGCUUGCUUCUCUGAUGUUAGCGGCGGACGGGUGAGUAACACGUGGAUAACCUACCUAUAAGACUGGGAUAACUUCGGGAAACCGGAGCUAAUACCGGAUAAUCUUUUGAACCGCAUGGUUCAAUAGUGAAAGACGGUCUUGCUGUCACUUAUGGAUGGAUCCGCGCUGCAUUAGCUAGUUGGUAAGGUAACGGCUUACCACGGCAACGAUGCAUAGCCGACCUGAGAGAGGGAUCGGCCACACUGGAACUGAGACACGGUCCAGACUCCUACGGGAGGCAGCAGUAGGGAAUCUUCCGCAAUGGGCGAAAGCCUGACGGAGCAACGCCGCGUGAGUGAUGAAGGUCUUCGGAGCGGAAAACUCUGUUAUUAGGGAAGAACAGAUGUGGAAGUAACUGUGCACAGCUUGACGGUACCUAAUCAGAAAGCCACGGCUAACUACGUG